CAUGACGUCUGCAAUUCUUGUGUAUACAGCCACCCCUCUUUAUCGACGGGGACUGGUUCUGGGACCCCUCCAUCUGAGGAUACCAAAGCCUGAGAUGCUCAAGCCAUUUGCAUAAAGUGGUGUAGGAGGUGCACAAACCUACGCAAUUCUCCUGCACACUUUAAACCUUCAGACAGCCUCUCAGACAUUAUACAGGUGAACGUUGCUUAUACCAUGGUCGACCUGUAUUGGUUAGGGAAUAAUGACAUGCACAUUUAGUAGAGAUGAAAUUUUUUUCCUGAGUAUCUUGUAUCUAUCUGCAGGUGUCUGAAUCCACAGCAGAGUCCAUGGAUGCCCACACAUUUGGAUGUAGUUAGAGUGGCAAAGGCAGUGUGGCAUAUGCUCUUGGGAGGAGAAAAAGCACAAAGGUCCUGACAGCAUUCUUUUUUGGGGGGUGGGGGUGGUUCUGAGAUUGAACCCAGGGUGGCUUUGCCACUGAGCUCCAUUCCAACCCUUUUUAUUCUUUUAUUUUGAGAUAACAUCUCAUUUGGUUGCUUAGGACCUCACUAAAGUCCUGAGGCUGGUCUCAAACUUGCACUUCUCUGUGUUCUUGGUUUAAAUUUUAAGUUUGAAAUCAUGUAAAUGCAAAAAUCCCCCACUUUUUAAAAAGACAACGUUGAGGAGAGUGGCAGGACCGAGUGGGGCGACCUGGAGGCCCACGCUUUGGAGAAGUUGGAGGGCGAAGAGGAGGAAGAGGCAGGCGCGGAUAACAUGAGGGAGGGGAUAUUUGUAGAGAUACCUGGAAGAGUGGGUGCUUGGACGAGCUUGGGGGCAGAACCGACUUUCC
Molecule: long non-coding RNA, 826 nt
Filed under: Marmota monax (woodchuck)
Lineage: Eukaryota; Metazoa; Chordata; Mammalia; Rodentia; Sciuridae
Source: RNAcentral